GUCUACUGCCAUGCCACCCUGAACAUGCCUGAUCCUGUCUGACUGGGAAGCUAAGCAGGGUCAGGCCUGGUUAGUACUUGGAUGGGAGACCACCUAGGAAGACCAGGUGCUGUAGGCA
RNAcentral lists this ribosomal RNA (118 nucleotides) under Pteropus alecto (black flying fox). The record is from RNAcentral. Lineage: Eukaryota; Metazoa; Chordata; Mammalia; Chiroptera; Pteropodidae.